UACGGGGGGGGCAAGCGUUGUUCGGAAUUACUGGGCGUAAAGCGUGCGCAGGCGGUUCGCCAAGUCAGGUGUGAAAUCCCCGGGCUUAACCUGGGAAUUGCGCUUGAAACUAGCGGGCUUGAGUGUGGCAGAGGGGGGUGGAAUUCCACGUGUAGCAGUGAAAUGCGUAGAUAUGCGGAGGAACACCGAUGGCGAAGGCAAUCCCCUGGGCCUGCACUGACGCUCAUGCACGAAAGCGUGGGGAGCAAACAGG
RNAcentral lists this ribosomal RNA (253 nucleotides) under uncultured bacterium. RNAcentral's name for it is "partial 16S ribosomal RNA". It matches the Rfam family "Bacterial small subunit ribosomal RNA", at positions 524 to 776 of the family's 1533-position model. The record is from RNAcentral.